UACGAGUGCGUCGAGCGUUAUCCGGAAUCAUUGGGCGUAAAGGGUGUGUAGGUGGCGUUGUUAGUCUCCUGUAAAAUUCCUCGGCUCAACCGGGGGCGCGCGGGAGAAACGGCAAUGCUAGAGGUUGGUAGGGGUUUCUGGAAUUCUAGGUGUAGCGGUGAAAUGCGUUGAUAUCUAGGAGAACACCAAAAGCGAAGGCAGGAAACUGGACCAUACCUGACACUGAAACACGAAAGCGUGGGUAGCGAAUGGG
This 253-nucleotide ribosomal RNA is filed under the name uncultured bacterium. RNAcentral's name for it is "partial 16S ribosomal RNA". It matches the Rfam family "Bacterial small subunit ribosomal RNA", at positions 524 to 776 of the family's 1533-position model. The record is from RNAcentral.